This 75-nucleotide transfer RNA is filed under the name Actinomycetota bacterium. RNAcentral's name for it is "tRNA-Pro". It matches the Rfam family "tRNA". Rfam says of the family: Transfer RNA (tRNA) molecules are approximately 80 nucleotides in length. Their secondary structure includes four short double-helical elements and three loops (D, anti-codon, and T loops). Further hydrogen bonds mediate the characteristic L-shaped molecular structure. tRNAs have two regions of fundamental functional importance: the anti-codon, which is responsible for specific mRNA codon recognition, and the 3' end, to which the tRNAs corresponding amino acid is attached (by aminoacyl-tRNA synthetases). tRNAs cope with the degeneracy of the genetic code in two manners: having more than one tRNA (with a specific anti-codon) for a particular amino acid; and 'wobble' base-pairing, i.e. permitting non-standard base-pairing at the 3rd anti-codon position. The record is from RNAcentral. Lineage: Bacteria; Bacillati; Actinomycetota.
CGGGGCGUAGCUCAGCCUGGUUAGAGCGCCGCGUUUGGGACGCGGAGGUCGCCGGUUCGAAUCCGGCCGCCCCGA